Ipomoea nil (Japanese morning glory) is the source of this 1351-nucleotide long non-coding RNA. RefSeq lists it as uncharacterized. NCBI's taxonomy places the organism in Eukaryota, Viridiplantae, Streptophyta, Magnoliopsida, Solanales, Convolvulaceae. The transcript is spliced from 4 exons. The record is from RefSeq and is a predicted model, not a curated record.
UUCCAAAUGUGCCUAACCCAUGGAGAUUUACCGGGUUCUACGGUCACCUAGAAAGAUCAAAGAUGCGAGAUUCGUGGCAGCUUCUCCGCGAUCUUUCUACUCGCAGCAGUCUCCCCUGGGCUAUUAUGGGCGAUUUCAACGACAUCAGAUGCCCAACCGAGAAGAUAGGCCGUCAUCCUCAACCACGUUGGCUUAUGGAAGGCUUCAACUCCGCGAUUGAUAGUACAGGUCUUUCUGAUCUUCAUAUUUACGGCUAUACGUUUACUUGGGAUAGAGGCAGAGGCACCCCAAACUGGGUCCAAGAAUGUCUUGAUAGGGUUCUGGUAUCGCAACAAUAGAUGGAUCUUUUCGACAAAGCAGUGGCCGAAUCUUCGAUUACCCCAGUUAGCAAUCAUCUGCCAAUUUUCCUAAAUCCAAUUCCUUCUGUGAGGUCUAAAAGAAGAUCUAAAUUUAGAUUUGAAAAUUUAUGGAUCAAGGAAGCCAAUUGUAGAACUCUCGUCACAGAGUUUUGGGUUGCUUCAAGAGGCGCUAAUUUAAUCUCAAGACUUGACUCGUGUAGCAAAGCGCUCUAGGACUGGGGAAAAAACUUACCACCGAAUUCCAGCCAAGGAUUGACCGAUGCCUUAAGUAGAUGGACACUCUUAGAAAUCGUUUGGACCAAUCUGGUUUGCUUGCUUUCUCUAAUGCCCAAUGAAGGUGCAUCCAUCAACAGAACACAUACUGGAAACAACGAGCGAAGGCCUUUUGGCACAUGCACGGGGACAUAAAUUCAAGUUUCUUUCACAAAUCAGUCUCAAAGAGAAGAAGGCACAUUGUGAUUAAUAAGCUCAGAAAUUCGGCUGGUAUUUGGUGCAAAAAGGUCCAGAGUUAAACGAGUAUGGCCAUUAUAUGUUCUUGGGAUAGAACCUAAGUUCGGUUUCCCAAAUUGUGUUUUUGUUGCCGAAGUCCUGCUACUGAAUGGCUUUGUUGGAAGCGUUAUUGCAGACUAUUUAUGUGCAUUGUCUGUAAUUUGGACAACUCCGCUAGUAGCAACUCUAGGCAUAUCCUUGACCAUACCUCUGGCUAUGUUAGCAGACAUGGUAGUCCACAGGCACCACUAUUCUCCAGUGUACAUUCUAGGAUGCAUUCAGGUUUUUGCUGGAUUUGUUAUGGCUAACCUUCAUAACAAGACUUCCACUGAAGGUUAAUAUUUGAGCUAGAAAAAACCGAUUGAACCCCUUGUGUGUAGUGUGUACUGGAGGAUCUAAAAAUGACUGAUAAAAUUUAUUGUGAGUUUUUGUAUUUGGAACAAAUGGAAGAAACUAGUGUCAACCGGGUCAUUAUUGUUUUCACCAUAUUUUGGAUUAUUAUU